RGCAGCGGACCCGAGGCAGCGUGCCGCCCGCGGGCCUCAUCUCUUAUCCGGCCGCUAAGAGGGAGGUUCAACACAAGAGCGCGUUUGAGCAGGAARAAUAAGCGGCAGGGGAAGCCCCGGCGGAUGGAUGGAUGGAAGGAUGGAUGGACAGAUGGAUGGGCGUGAGGAGGGGCUGCUCCCGGCACCGCUGGACCGGAGCAUCCCGUUUCCAACCGGAGCAUCCCGUUUCCCUCCGGAGAGCAGUCGGUGCAGAAGCGGCGGUGUUGGCAGGUGCUCUCCAGGCAGCUCUGCAGGUGUCUCUUCCAGGUGCCUCCGUGUUGCCUGGAGCCAGGUGGUGGGACAACGUGGGCAGAAGACACCAAGUACAGGGUCAGCGUGGUCCUGGCUGCUCCGAUAUGACUCUUCGUGACGACUCGGUCGAAUGAAUGCCGCUUUUCAAACAACUGGAGAAGAAAAGCCACAGGAUAUUAAUGUUGAGGAUGGAAAAACCUUUCCUGCACCGGGCGUGGAGGUGCGAGGUGGUACCCGAACCCCCGCUGCACAGGACGGGGCAUUCCCGGCUCCGGCACGCCGUUGCGCUGUAAUUAAAGCAUCAGUAAUAGGAUUUGCAGCGCCCGGAGCCGCGGUGCAGCGGCUGCCGCAG
Molecule: long non-coding RNA, 643 nt
Filed under: Dromaius novaehollandiae (emu)
Lineage: Eukaryota; Metazoa; Chordata; Aves; Casuariiformes; Dromaiidae
Description: lncRNA (ENSDNVG00000003486.1)
Source: RNAcentral